CAGCACCUCAAGUGGUCAGGAUGAUUAUUGGGCCUAAAGCAUCCGUAGCCGGCGCUGUAAGUUUUCGGUUAAAUCUGUACGCUCAACGUACAGGCUGCCGGGAAUACUGCAGCGCUAGGGAGUGGGAGAGGUAGACGGUACUCGGUAGGAAGGGGUAAAAUCCUUUGAUCUAUUGAUGGCCACCUGUGGCGAAGGCGGUCUACCAGAACACGUCCGACGGUGAGGGAUGAAAGCUGGGGGAGCAAACCGGAUUAGAGACCCGAGUAGUCC
Molecule: ribosomal RNA, 270 nt
Filed under: uncultured archaeon
Lineage: Archaea
Description: partial 16S ribosomal RNA
Rfam family: Archaeal small subunit ribosomal RNA
Source: RNAcentral